UGCGUAGGGUGCGAGCGUUAAUCGGAAUUACUGGGCGUAAAGCGUGCGCAGGCGGUGAGCUGUGUCCGAUGUGAAAGCCCCGGGCUUAACCUGGGAAUGGCAUUGGAAACUGGCUCGCUGGAGUGUGGCAGAGGGGGGUGGAAUUCCGCGUGUAGCAGUGAAAUGCGUAGAGAUGUGGAGGAACACCGAUGGCGAAGGCAGCCUUCUGGGCCAACACUGACGCUCAUGCACGAAAGCGUGGGGAGCAAACAGG
This 253-nucleotide ribosomal RNA is filed under the name uncultured bacterium. RNAcentral's name for it is "partial 16S ribosomal RNA". It matches the Rfam family "Bacterial small subunit ribosomal RNA", at positions 524 to 776 of the family's 1533-position model. The record is from RNAcentral.